AUUGAACGCUGGCGGCAGGCCUAACACAUGCAAGUCGAACGGUAACAGGAAACAGCUUGCUGUUUCGCUGACGAGUGGCGGACGGGUGAGUAAUGUCUGGGAAACUGCCUGAUGGAGGGGGAUAACUACUGGAAACGGUAGCUAAUACCGCAUAACGUCGCAAGACCAAGGAGGGGGACCCUCGGGCCUCUUGCCAUCGGAUGUGCCCAGAUGGGAUUAGCUUGUUGGUGGGGUAACGGCUCACCAAGGCGACGAUCCCUAGCUGGUCUGAGAGGAUGACCAGCCACACUGGAACUGAGACACGGUCCAGACUCCUACGGGAGGCAGCAGUGGGGAAUAUUGCACAAUGGGCGCAAGCCUGAUGCAGCCAUGCCGCGUGUAUGAAGAAGGCCUUCGGGUUGUAAAGUACUUUCAGCGGGGAGGAAGGGAGUAAAGUUAAUACCUUUGCUCAUUGACGUUACCCGCAGAAGAAGCACCGGCUAACUCCGUGCCAGCAGCCGCGGUAAUACGGAGGGUGCAAGCGUUAAUCGGAAUUACUGGGCGUAAAGCGCACGCAGGCGGUUUGUUAAGUCAGAUGUGAAAUCCCCGGGCUCAACCUGGGAACUGCAUCUGAUACUGGCAAGCUUGAGUCUCGUAGAGGGGGGUAGAAUUCCGGGUGUAGCGGUGAAAUGCGUAGAGAUCUGGAGGAAUACCGGUGGCGAAGGCGGCCCCCUGGACGAAGACUGACGCUCAGGUGCGAAAGCGUGGGGAGCAAACAGGAUUAGAUACCCUGGUAGUCCACGCCGUAAACGAUGUCGACUUGGAGGUUGUGCCCUUGAGGCGUGGCUUCCGGAGCUAACGCGUUAAGUCGACCGCCUGGGGAGUACGGCCGCAAGGUUAAAACUCAAAUGAAUUGACGGGGGCCCGCACAAGCGGUGGAGCGUGUGGUUUAAUUCGAUGCAACGCGAAGAACCUUACCUGGUCUUGACAUCCACGGAAGUUUUCAGAGAUGAGAAUGUGCCUUCGGGAACCGUGAGACAGGUGCUGCAUGGCUGUCGUCAGCUCGUGUUGUGAAAUGUUGGGUUAAGUCCCGCAACGAGCGCAACCCUUAUCCUUUGUUGCCAGCGGUCCGGCCGGGAACUCAAAGGAGACUGCCAGUGAUAAACUGGAGGAAGGUGGGGAUGACGUCAAGUCAUCAUGGCCCUUACGACCAGGGCUACACACGUGCUACAAUGGCGCAUACAAAGAGAAGCGACCUCGCGAGAGCAAGCGGACCUCAUAAAGUGCGUCGUAGUCCGGAUUGGAGUCUGCAACUCGACUCCAUGAAGUCGGAAUCGCUAGUAAUCGUGGAUCAGAAUGCCACGGUGAAUACGUUCCCGGGCCU
Molecule: ribosomal RNA, 1363 nt
Filed under: uncultured bacterium
Lineage: Bacteria
Description: bacterial SSU rRNA
Rfam family: Bacterial small subunit ribosomal RNA
Source: RNAcentral